CCCAGAUACAGAGGGUGAAGGCUCUCUUCCUGGCUUGCAAAUGGCUGGGAUGGGGGGAAUCGCUUGAGGCCAGUUCUGGGCUGUAGAGCACUAUCCUUAUUGGGUGUCUGCAUCAGUAUGGUGACCUCCUGGGAGCAGGGAACCACCAAGUUGCCCAAAGAGGGGCUAAGUGGACCAGAUCAGAAACAGAGCAGGUCAGAGCUCCCAUGCUGAUCAGUAGUGUGAUCGUGCCUAUGAAUAGACACUGCACUCCAGACUGGGCAACAUAGCAAGACCCCAU
This 280-nucleotide signal recognition particle RNA is filed under the name Microcebus murinus (gray mouse lemur). RNAcentral describes it as "Metazoan signal recognition particle RNA (ENSMICG00000044426.1)". It matches the Rfam family "Metazoan signal recognition particle RNA". Rfam says of the family: The signal recognition particle (SRP) is a universally conserved ribonucleoprotein. It is involved in the co-translational targeting of proteins to membranes. The eukaryotic SRP consists of a 300-nucleotide 7S RNA and six proteins: SRPs 72, 68, 54, 19, 14, and 9. The record is from RNAcentral. Lineage: Eukaryota; Metazoa; Chordata; Mammalia; Primates; Cheirogaleidae.